CGUAGGGUGCGAGCGUUAAUCGGAAUUACUGGGCGUAAAGCGUGCGCAGGCGGUUUGUUAAGAUAGGCGUGAAAUCCCCGGGCUCAACCUGGGAACUGCGCUUAUGACUGGCAAGCUAGAGUACGGCAGAGGGGGUGGAAUUCCACGUGUAGCAGUGAAAUGCGUAGAGAUGUGGAGGAACACCAAUGGCGAAGGCAGCCCCCUGGGUCGAUACUGACGCUCAUGCACGAAAGCGUGGGUAGCAAACAGGAUUAGAUACCCUGGUAGUCCACGCCCUAAACGAUGUCAACUAGGUGUUGGGAGGGUAAAACCUUUAGUACCGGAGCUAACGCGUGAAGUUGACCGCCUGGGGAGUACGGCCGCAAGGUUA
Molecule: ribosomal RNA, 370 nt
Filed under: uncultured organism
Description: bacterial SSU rRNA
Rfam family: Bacterial small subunit ribosomal RNA
Source: RNAcentral